GUUAAAGGUACCCGUACCGCAAACCGACACAGGUGGGUGAGGAGAGUAUCCUAAGGCCAGCGAGAGAACUGUUGUUAAGGAACUCGGCAAAAUGACCCCGUAACGUAGGGAUAAGGGGUGCCACCAUCAGGUGGCCGCAGAGAAUAGGCCCAAGCGACUGUUUACCAAAAACAUAGGUUUCUGCUAAGUCGCAAGACGAUGUAUAGGAGCUGACGCCUGCCCGGUGCUGGAA
RNAcentral lists this ribosomal RNA (232 nucleotides) under Clostridioides difficile. RNAcentral describes it as "partial 23S ribosomal RNA". It matches the Rfam family "Bacterial large subunit ribosomal RNA", at positions 1631 to 1874 of the family's 2925-position model. Lineage: Bacteria; Bacillati; Bacillota; Clostridia; Peptostreptococcales; Peptostreptococcaceae. The record is from RNAcentral.